This 253-nucleotide ribosomal RNA is filed under the name uncultured bacterium. RNAcentral's name for it is "partial 16S ribosomal RNA". It matches the Rfam family "Bacterial small subunit ribosomal RNA", at positions 524 to 776 of the family's 1533-position model. The record is from RNAcentral.
UACGUAGGGCGCAAGCGUUAUUCGGAAUUAUUGGGCGUAAAGGGCGCGUAGGCGGCCUGGCAAGUGGAAGGUGAAAUCCCUCGGCUUAACCGAGGAACUGCCCUCCAAACUGCUUGGCUUGAGACCGGGAGAGGUGAGUGGAAUUCCCGGUGUAGCGGUGAAAUGCGCAGAUAUCGGGAAGAACACCCGUGGCGAAGGCGGCUCUCUGGGACGGUACUGACGCUGAGACGCGAAAGCGUGGGGAGCGAACAGG